Long non-coding RNA from Branchiostoma belcheri (Belcher's lancelet), 325 nucleotides. RefSeq lists it as uncharacterized. The transcript is spliced from 3 exons. The record is from RefSeq and is a predicted model, not a curated record. NCBI's taxonomy places the organism in Eukaryota, Metazoa, Chordata, Leptocardii, Amphioxiformes, Branchiostomatidae.
GGACAACUCUAGCCGCAGGGCACAGUAAAAAAAACUGGUGUUCAGCGAAGAGGACUGUCGUUGCCUUUGCCGAACAAGAACUUCAAGGUCCUUUUCUUUAGCCUACAAACUGUCGUUGUUUGUAAGGUGGUACAACCAGUUCUUGCUGCCAGAGGAUCUGAGUCUUCACACAGACAGUGGAGAAGGAAACGAAACUCAGCUGAUCUUUUGGGCACACUGGCUCCAUACUGUAAGAGCACAAGUUUCUUCCCGCUUGGUUUAAAUAAUUAAUUUACUGGAAGAAGAGACAAGACUGACAACUGUAACUCUUGUUCAUUUGCCGGCA